Molecule: ribosomal RNA, 253 nt
Filed under: uncultured bacterium
Lineage: Bacteria
Description: partial 16S ribosomal RNA
Rfam family: Bacterial small subunit ribosomal RNA
Source: RNAcentral
GACGUAGGGUGCAAGCGUUGUCCGGAAUUAUUGGGCGUAAAGAGCUUGUAGGCGGUUUGUCGCGUCUGCUGUGAAAUUUCGGGGCUCAACCCCGAACUUGCAGUGGGUACGGGCAGACUAGAGUGUGGUAGGGGAGACUGGAAUUCCUGGUGUAGCGGUGAAAUGCGCAGAUAUCAGGAGGAACACCAGCGGCGAAGGCAGCUCGCUAGGACGGUACUGACGCUGAGGCGCGAAAGCGUGGGGAGCGAACAGG